UGCAGUCGAGGGGCAGCAUAGGGUACCUGUACUUUGAUGGCGACCGGCGCACGGGUGAGUAAUGCGUAUGCAACCUACCUAUAACAGGGGAAUAACCCGUAGAAAUUCGGACUAAUACCGCAUAAAACAGGGGCUCCGCAUGGAGAUAUUUGUUAAACAUUUGUCGGUUAUAGAUGGGCAUGCGUUCCAUUAGCCAGUUGGUGAGGUAACGGCUCACCAAAACAACCAUGGAUAGGGGAACUGAGAGGUUUGUCCCCCACACUGGAACUGACACACCGACCUCCUCCUACAGGAGGCAUGGUGAGGAAUAUUGGUCAAUGGGCGACAGCCUGAACCAUGCAAAUCGCGUGAAGGAAGACUGCCUUAUGGGUUGUAAACUUCUUUUAUACAGGAAUAUUGUAGUUACGUGUAACUUAUUGCAUGUACUGUAUGAAUAAACAUCGGCUAACUCCGUGCCAGCAGCCGCGGUAAUACGGAAGAUGCCAGCGUUAUCCCGAUUUAUUGGGUUUAAAGGGUGCGCAGGCGGGAACUUAAGUCCGCAGUGAAAUCUCGACGCUUAACGUCGAAACUGCCGUUGAAACUGGGUUUCUUGAAUAUAUAUGAAGUAGGCUGAAUUCCUUGUGUAACGGUGACAUGCUUAGAUAUAACGAAGAACUCCGAUUGCGUAGCAGCUUACUAAGCUAUAACUGACGCUCAAGCACGAAAGCGUGGGGAUCAAACAGGAUUAGAUACCCUGGUAGUCCACGCCGUAAACGAUGAUUACUAGUUGUAUGCGAUAUUCCGUAUGUGACUAAGCGAAAGCGAUAAGUAAUCCACCUGGGGAGUACGCCGGCAACGGUGAAACUCAAAGGAAUUGACGGGGGCCCGCACAAGCGGAGGAACAUGUGGUUUAAUUGGGUGAUACGCGAGGAACUUUACCCGGGCUUGAAAUGCAGAAGAAUAACGUUGAAAGAUUUUAGCCAUCAAUGGCUUCUGUGUAGGUGCUGCAUGGUGGUCGUCAGCUCGAGCCGUGAGGUGUCGGCUUAAGUGCCAUAACGAGCGCAACCCACAUUGUUAGUUACUAACAGGUCAAGCAGAGGAGUCUAACAAGACUGCAGUGGUAAGAUGCGAGGAAGGUGUGGAGGACUUCAAAUCAGCACGGCCCUUACGUCCGGGGCGACACAAGUGUUACAAUGGGGGGUACAAAGGGCAGGUAAUCGGUGACAAGAUGCUAAUCUCCAAAGCCACUCCCAGUUCGGAUCGGAGUCUGCAACUCGACUCCGUGAAGCUGGAUUCGCUAGUAAUCGCGCAUCAGCCAUGGCGCGGUGAAUACGCUCCCGGGCCUUGUCCACACCCCCCGUCAAGCCAUGGAAGCUGGGGGUAUGGAACUGCGUAACCGCAAGGAGCGUC
This 1389-nucleotide ribosomal RNA is filed under the name Dysgonomonas sp. RNAcentral describes it as "bacterial SSU rRNA". It matches the Rfam family "Bacterial small subunit ribosomal RNA". The record is from RNAcentral. Lineage: Bacteria; Pseudomonadati; Bacteroidota; Bacteroidia; Bacteroidales; Dysgonomonadaceae.